GCUGGGUAUAGUGGUGGGUACCUGUAAUCCCAGCUACUCAGGAGGCUGAGGUGGGAGAAUCGCUUGAACCCAGGAGGUGGAGGUUGCAGUAAGCCAAGAUCAUGCCACUGCACUCCAGCCUGGGUGACAGAGCGAGACUCCAUCUCAA
Pongo abelii (Sumatran orangutan) is the source of this 148-nucleotide unclassified non-coding RNA. It matches the Rfam family "Metazoan signal recognition particle RNA". Rfam says of the family: The signal recognition particle (SRP) is a universally conserved ribonucleoprotein. Lineage: Eukaryota; Metazoa; Chordata; Mammalia; Primates; Hominidae. The record is from Ensembl.